ACCGCCCUCAACCUUUUGGCUAAGAUCAAGUGUAGUAUCUGUUCUUAUCAGUUUAAUAAAAAUAAAUAAAUAAAAUCAGCGCCGCAAUUUCAAAAUCAGUUCAAGACAUGGAUGUAUCUUUGGCAUCAGCACUCUGACACAUAUUUGUGAAAAUGGAAGAAGAUGCUUUAAGAUUGAAUCUCC
This is a small nuclear RNA of Centropristis striata (black sea bass), 183 nucleotides long. RefSeq annotates it as U2 spliceosomal RNA. The record is from RefSeq and is a predicted model, not a curated record. NCBI's taxonomy places the organism in Eukaryota, Metazoa, Chordata, Actinopteri, Perciformes, Serranidae. The transcript has a single exon.